RNAcentral lists this ribosomal RNA (253 nucleotides) under uncultured bacterium. Its description in RNAcentral is "partial 16S ribosomal RNA". It matches the Rfam family "Bacterial small subunit ribosomal RNA", at positions 524 to 776 of the family's 1533-position model. The record is from RNAcentral.
UACGUAGGGUGCGAGCGUUGUCCGGAAUUAUUGGGCGUAAAGGGCUCGUAGGCGGUUUGUCGCGUCGGGAGUGAAAUCCACUGGCUUAACUGGUGGCUUGCUUUCGAUACGGGCAGACUGGAGGUAUGCAGGGGAGAACGGAAUUCCUGGUGUAGCGGCGAAAUGCGCAGAUAUCAGGAGGAACACCGGUGGCGAAGGCGGUUCUCUGGGCAUGUCCUGACGCUGAGGAGCGAAAGUGUGGGGAGCGAACAGG